Small nuclear RNA from Jaculus jaculus (lesser Egyptian jerboa), 164 nucleotides. Its record names the gene U1. It matches the Rfam family "U1 spliceosomal RNA". Rfam says of the family: U1 is a small nuclear RNA (snRNA) component of the spliceosome (involved in pre-mRNA splicing). Its 5' end forms complementary base pairs with the 5' splice junction, thus defining the 5' donor site of an intron. The record is from Ensembl. NCBI's taxonomy places the organism in Eukaryota, Metazoa, Chordata, Mammalia, Rodentia, Dipodidae.
ACACUUGCCUGGCAGGGGCGGUACCAUGUUCACCAAGGUGGUUUUCACAUGGCAAGGCUUAUCCAUUGCACUUUGGAUGUGCUAAUCCCUGUAAUUUCCUCAACUAUGAGAAAUCCGACUUCAUAAUUUGUGGUAGUAGGGGACUGUGGUUGUGCUGUCACCUA